CCGUCACAACGGCUUCCUGGCGUGACGGCAUUAUUUCAGUGGAGCA
This 46-nucleotide non-coding RNA is filed under the name unclassified sequences. RNAcentral describes it as "SAM-SAH-Weickhmann-2018 RNA". It matches the Rfam family "SAM/SAH riboswitch aptamer". The record is from RNAcentral.